Molecule: ribosomal RNA, 468 nt
Filed under: uncultured bacterium
Lineage: Bacteria
Description: partial 16S ribosomal RNA
Rfam family: Bacterial small subunit ribosomal RNA
Source: RNAcentral
GAUGAACGCUGGCGGCGUGCUUAACACAUGCAAGUCGAACGGUGAAGGCGGAGCUUGCUCUGCUGGAUCAGUGGCGAACGGGUGAGUAACACGUGAGCAAUCUGCCCCUGACUCUGGGAUAAGCGCUGGAAACGGCGUCUAAUACUGGAUACGAGCUGCGAAGGCAUCUUCAGCAGCUGGAAAGAAAUUCGGUCAGGGAUGAGCUCGCGGCCUAUCAGCUUGUUGGUGAGGUAAUGGCUCACCAAGGCGUCGACGGGUAGCCGGCCUGAGAGGGUGACCGGCCACACUGGGACUGAGACACGGCCCAGACUCCUACGGGAGGCAGCAGUGGGGAAUAUUGCACAAUGGGCGAAAGCCUGAUGCAGCAACGCCGCGUGAGGGACGACGGCCUUCGGGUUGUAAACCUCUUUUAGCAGGGAAGAAGCGAAAGUGACGGUACCUGCAGAAAAAGCGCCGGCUAGCUACGUG